RNAcentral lists this ribosomal RNA (380 nucleotides) under uncultured bacterium. RNAcentral's name for it is "bacterial SSU rRNA". It matches the Rfam family "Bacterial small subunit ribosomal RNA", at positions 28 to 417 of the family's 1533-position model. The record is from RNAcentral.
GACGAACGCUGGCGGCGUGCUUAACACAUGCAAGUCAAGGGGGCCCAGCAAUGGGCAACCGGCGAACGGGUGCGUAACACGUGAGCAACCUACCGAAAUGUGGGGGAUAGCCGGCCUAACGGCCGAGUAAUACCGCAUACGCUUUUCUAGAGGCAUUUCUGGAAAAGGAAGCCUACGGGACAUUUCGAGGGGCUCGCGGCCUAUCAGCUAGUUGGCGAGGUAACGGCUCACCAAGGCAACGACGGGUAGCUGGUCUGAGAGGAUGGCCAGCCACAUUGGGACUGAGAUACGGCCCAGACUCCUACGGGAGGCAGCAGUGGGGAAUCUUGCGCAAUGGCCUAACGGCUGACGCAGCGACGCCGCGUGAGGGAUGACGGCCU